Molecule: ribosomal RNA, 444 nt
Filed under: uncultured bacterium
Lineage: Bacteria
Description: bacterial SSU rRNA
Rfam family: Bacterial small subunit ribosomal RNA
Source: RNAcentral
CCAGACUCCUACGGGAGGCAGCAGUGGGGAAUAUUGCACAAUGGGGGAAACCCUGAUGCAGCGACGCCGCGUGAAGGAUGAAGUAUUUCGGUAUGUAAACUUCUAUCAGCAGGGAAGAAAAUGACGGUACCUGACUAAGAAGCCCCGGCUAACUACGUGCCAGCAGCCGCGGUAAUACGUAGGGGGCAAGCGUUAUCCGGAUUUACUGGGUGUAAAGGGAGCGUAGACGGCAUGGCAAGUCUGAUGUGAAAACCCGGGGCUCAACCCCGGGACUGCAUUGGAAACUGUCAGGCUGGAGUGUCGGAGAGGCAAGUGGAAUUCCUAGUGUAGCGGUGAAAUGCGUAGAUAUUAGGAGGAACACCAGUGGCGAAGGCGGCUUGCUGGACGAUGACUGACGUUGAGGCUCGAAAGCGUGGGGAGCAAACAGGAUUAGAUACCCGAGUA